RNAcentral lists this ribosomal RNA (800 nucleotides) under uncultured bacterium. RNAcentral's name for it is "bacterial SSU rRNA". It matches the Rfam family "Bacterial small subunit ribosomal RNA", at positions 8 to 805 of the family's 1533-position model. The record is from RNAcentral.
AGAGUUUGAUCCUGGCUCAGAUUGAACGCUGGCGGCAUGCCUUACACAUGCAAGUCGAACGGUAACAGGUCUUCGGAUGCUGACGAGUGGCGAACGGGUGAGUAAUACAUCGGAACGUGCCCAGUAAUGGGGGAUAGCUCGGCGAAAGCCGGAUUAAUACCGCAUACGCCCUGAGGGGGAAAGUGGGGGACCGCAAGGCCUCACGUUAUUGGAGCGGCCGAUGGCUGAUUAGCUAGUUGGUAGGGUAAAGGCCUACCAAGGCGACGAUCAGUAGCUGGUCUGAGAGGACGAUCAGCCACACUGGGACUGAGACACGGCCCAGACUCCUACGGGAGGCAGCAGUGGGGAAUUUUGGACAAUGGGGGAAACCCUGAUCCAGCAAUGCCGCGUGUGCGAAGAAGGCCUUCGGGUUGUAAAGCACUUUUGUCAGGGAAGAAAUCCUUUGGGCUAAUACCCUAGGGGGAUGACGGUACCUGAAGAAUAAGCACCGGCUAACUACGUGCCAGCAGCCGCGGUAAUACGUAGGGUGCAAGCGUUAAUCGGAAUUACUGGGCGUAAAGCGUGCGCAGGCGGUUGUGUAAGACAGGUGUGAAAUCCCCGGGCUUAACCUGGGAAUUGCAUUUGUGACUGCACGACUAGAGUGUGUCAGAGGGGGGUGGAAUUCCACGUGUAGCAGUGAAAUGCGUAGAUAUGUGGAGGAACACCAAUGGCGAAGGCAGCCCCCUGGGAUAACACUGACGCUCAUGCACGAAAGCGAGGGGAGCAAACAGGAUUAGAUACCCUGGUAGUCCACGCCCUAA